Molecule: ribosomal RNA, 441 nt
Filed under: uncultured bacterium
Lineage: Bacteria
Description: partial 16S ribosomal RNA
Rfam family: Bacterial small subunit ribosomal RNA
Source: RNAcentral
CCUACGGGAGGCAGCAGUGGGGAAUAUUGCACAAUGGGGGAAACCCUGAUGCAGCGACGCCGCGUGAGUGAAGAAGUAUUUCGGUAUGUAAAGCUCUAUCAGCAGGAACGAGACAAGACGGUACCUGACUAAGAAGCCCCGGCUAACUACGUGCCAGCAGCCGCGGUAAUACGUAGGGGGCAAGCGUUAUCCGGAAUCACUGGGUGUAAGGGGAGCGUAGACGGCGGAGCAAGCCUGAAGUGAAAGGCGGGGGCCCAACCCCUGGACUGCUUUGGGAACUGUCCGGCUGGAGUGCAGGAGAGGGAAGUAGAAGUCCUGGUGUAGCGGUGAAAUGCGUAGAGAUUAGGAGGAACACCAGUGGCGAAGGCGGCUUACUGGACUGUAACUGACGUUGAGGCGCGAAAGCGUGGGGAGCAAACAGGAUUAGAUACCCCUGUAGUC